This 406-nucleotide ribosomal RNA is filed under the name uncultured bacterium. Its description in RNAcentral is "partial 16S ribosomal RNA". It matches the Rfam family "Bacterial small subunit ribosomal RNA", at positions 30 to 526 of the family's 1533-position model. The record is from RNAcentral.
AUUGAACGCUGGCGGCAGGCCUAACACAUGCAAGUCGAGCGAGCGGCGGACGGGUGAGUAAUGUCUGGGGAUCUGCUCGAUAGAGAGGGAUAACUACUGGCAACGGUGGCUAAUACCGCAUACUACUGUUUGAACCCUGAUGGGAUUAGCUAGUAGGUGGGGUAAAGGCUCACCAAGGCGACGAUCUCUAGCUGUUCUGAGAGGAUGAUCAGCCACACUGGGACUGAGACACGGCCCAGACUCCUACGGGAGGCAGCAGUGGGGAAUAUUGGACAAUGGGCGCAAGCCUGAUGCAGCCAUGCCGCGUGUAUGAAGAAGGCCUGAGGGUUGUAAAGUACUUUCAGCGGGGAGGCGUUACCCGCAGAAGAAGCAACGGCUAACUCCGUGCCAGCAGCCGCGGUAAUUC